RNAcentral lists this unclassified non-coding RNA (518 nucleotides) under uncultured Entrophospora. RNAcentral's name for it is "SSU rRNA". It matches the Rfam family "Eukaryotic small subunit ribosomal RNA", at positions 569 to 1084 of the family's 1831-position model. The record is from RNAcentral. Lineage: Eukaryota; Fungi; Glomeromycota; Glomeromycetes; Entrophosporales; Entrophosporaceae.
AGCAGCCGCGGUAAUUCCAGCUCCAAUAGCGUAUAUUAAAGUUGUUGCAGUUAAAAGCUCGUAGUUGAAUUUCGGGAUUGACGUGAUGGUCAUGCCUUAAGGGGUAUGAACUGUUACUGUUGAUUUCUCACCUUCUGGAGAAACUUGAUGUCCUUUAUUGGGUGUCUUGCGGAUCCAGGACCUUUACCUUGAAAAAUUAGAGUGUUUAAAGCAGGCAUUUUUGCUCGAAUACAUUAGCAUGGAAUAAUAGAAUAGGACGGCAUGGUUCUAUUUUGUUGGUUUCUAGGAUCACCGUAAUGAUUAAUAGGGAUAGUUGGGGGCAUUAGUAUUCAAUUGUCAGAGGUGAAAUUCUUGGAUUUAUUGAAGACUAACUACUGCGAAAGCAUUUGCCAAGGAUGUUUUCAUUAAUCAAGAACGAAAGUUAGGGAUCGAAGACGAUCAGAUACCGUCGUAGUCUUAACCAUAAACUAUGCCGACUAGGAAUCAGACGAUGUUAAUUUUUAAUGUACUCGUUGGUA